GCUCCGGUAGCACAAUUGGUUAGUGCGUUGGACUUUUAGGGCAACCUAAACAGGCCAUCCAAAGGUUGCGGGUUCGACCCCGCCUGGAGCG
RNAcentral lists this transfer RNA (91 nucleotides) under Parascedosporium putredinis. It matches the Rfam family "tRNA". From Rfam's summary of the family: Transfer RNA (tRNA) molecules are approximately 80 nucleotides in length. Their secondary structure includes four short double-helical elements and three loops (D, anti-codon, and T loops). The record is from Rfam by way of RNAcentral. Lineage: Eukaryota; Fungi; Ascomycota; Sordariomycetes; Microascales; Microascaceae.